RNAcentral lists this non-coding RNA (853 nucleotides) under Paracontias hildebrandti. Its description in RNAcentral is "partial 12S ribosomal RNA". It matches the Rfam family "Bacterial small subunit ribosomal RNA". Lineage: Eukaryota; Metazoa; Chordata; Lepidosauria; Squamata; Scincidae. The record is from RNAcentral.
AAAAGUUUUGGUCCUAAACUUGCCAUUGUUUUUUAACCAAAAUUACACAUGCAAGCCUCCACCAACCAGUGAGAAUGCCCACGAACCCCUGAACAGAAAGCCGGAGCAGGUAUCAGGCUCAACGACACGGCCAACGACACCUUGCCAUGCCACACCCACACGGGCCUUCAGCAGUGAUUAACAUUAAAUUAUAAGCGCAAGCUUGACUUGGUUAUGGUUAAUAAAGCCGGUAAAUUUCGUGCCAGCCACCGCGGUUAUACGAAAGACUUAAAACAAUGCCCUGCGGCGUAAAGCGUGGCCAGAGCUCUACCACACACCUAAAGAAAAACCGCCACCAAGCCGUAAAACGCCCAAACGAGCGAGAACCAACACACAAUCCUUAGGCCAAAGGCCGCUUGACCCACGAAAGCUAAGAAACAAACUGGGAUUAGAUACCCCACUAUGCUUAGCCCUAAACACAGACAACACAAAUACAAUAUUGUCCGCCAGAGAACUACAAGCGAAAAACUCAAAACUCCAAGGACUUGGCGGUGCUCCAUAUCAACCUAGAGGAGCCUGUCCUAUAAUCGAUACCCCACGCUAAACCCCACCAUCUUUUGCCCCUCAGCCUAUAUACCGCCGUCGCCAGCCUACCUUAUGAAAGAAGAACAGUAAGCAAAACAGUUAACAGCAAGCACGUCAGGUCAAGGUGUAGCACACAAGAUGGAAGAGAUGGGCUACAUUCUCUGCCACAGAGCAUACGAAUGGCACAAUGAAACACGAACCUAAAGGUGGAUUUAGUAGUAAGAUGAAUAAGCAACACCAUCUUAAACCCGCUCUGGAGCGCGCACACACCGCCCGUCACCCUCAUCAU